Molecule: ribosomal RNA, 380 nt
Filed under: uncultured archaeon
Lineage: Archaea
Description: bacterial SSU rRNA
Rfam family: Archaeal small subunit ribosomal RNA
Source: RNAcentral
ACUCCGAGUGCCCGUAAAAUCGGGCUGUCCAUCUGUUUAAUAACAGGUGAAGAAAGGGCCGGGCAAGACCGGUGCCAGCCGCCGCGGUAAUACCGGCGGCUCGAGUGGUGGCCACUAUUACUGGGCUUAAAGCGUUCGUAGCUGGUUUGUUAAGUCUCUGGGGAAAUCUUCCGGCUUAACCGGAAGGCGUCUCAGGGAUACUGGCAGACUAGGGACCGGGAGAGGUGAGGGGUACUCCAGGGGUAGGAGUGAAAUCCUGUAAUCCUUGGGGGACCACCUGUGGCGAAGGCGCCUCACCAGAACGGCUCCGACAGUGAGGGACGAAAGCUGGGGGAGCAAACCGGAUUAGAUACCCGGGUAGUCCCAGCUGUAAACGAUGC